This 465-nucleotide ribosomal RNA is filed under the name uncultured bacterium. RNAcentral describes it as "partial 16S ribosomal RNA". It matches the Rfam family "Bacterial small subunit ribosomal RNA", at positions 28 to 507 of the family's 1533-position model. The record is from RNAcentral.
GACGAACGCUGGCGGCGUGCUUAACACAUGCAAGUCGAACGGAAAGGCCCUGCUUGCAGGGUACUCGAGUGGCGAACGGGUGAGUAACACGUGGGUGAUCUGCCCUGCACUUCGGGAUAAGCCUGGGAAACUGGGUCUAAUACCGGAUAGGAGCCAUAUUUAGUGUGAUGGUUGGAAAGUUUUUUCGGUGUAGGAUGAGCUCGCGGCCUAUCAGCUUGUUGGUGGGGUAAUGGCCUACCAAGGCGGCGACGGGUAGCCGGCCUGAGAGGGUGGAAGGCCACAUUGGGACUGAGAGACGGCCCAGACUCCGACGGGAGGCAGCAGUGGGGAAGAUUGCACAAUGGGCGCAAGCCUGAUGCAGCGACGCCGCGUGGGGGAUGACGGCCUUCGGGUUGUAAACUCCUUUCGCUAGGGACGAAGCUUUUUGUGACGGUACCUAGAUAAGAAGCACCGGCUAACUACGUG